Molecule: ribosomal RNA, 492 nt
Filed under: uncultured bacterium
Lineage: Bacteria
Description: partial 16S ribosomal RNA
Rfam family: Bacterial small subunit ribosomal RNA
Source: RNAcentral
AGUGAACGCUGGCGGUAGGCCUAACACAUGCAAGUCGAACGGCAGCACAGUAAGAGCUUGCUCUUACGGGUGGCGAGUGGCGGACGGGUGAGGAAUACAUCGGAAUCUACUUUUUCGUGGGGGAUAACGUAGGGAAACUUACGCUAAUACCGCAUAUGACCUACGGGUGAAAGCAGGGGAUCUUCGGACCUUGCGCGAUUGAAUGAGCCGAUGUCGGAUUAGCUAGUUGGCGGGGUAAAGGCCCACCAAGGCGACGAUCCGUAGCUGGUCUGAGAGGAUGAUCAGCCACACUGGAACUGAGACACGGUCCAGACUCCUACGGGAGGCAGCAGUGGGGAAUAUUGGACAAUGGGCGCAAGCCUGAUCCAGCCAUACCGCGUGGGUGAAGAAGGCCUUCGGGUUGUAAAGCCCUUUUGUUGGGAAAGAAAAGCAGCAGGUUAAUACCCCGCUGUUCUGACGGUACCCAAAGGAUAAGCACCGGCUAACUUCGUG